Cercocebus atys (sooty mangabey) is the source of this 10196-nucleotide RNA transcript. It is a transcript of the gene named protein FAM133B pseudogene, with no coding region annotated. The record is from RefSeq and is a predicted model, not a curated record. The transcript has a single exon. Lineage: Eukaryota; Metazoa; Chordata; Mammalia; Primates; Cercopithecidae.
UGUAUGAAUAAAUACAAUAUGUACAUACAUACAAUGGAGUAUCAUUCCACAAAAAAAAGAAAGGAAAUACUGAUUCAUGCAAUGACAGGGAUCAACCUUGAAACAUUAAGCUGUGCAAGAAGGCAGACCUAAAGGCCACACAUUGUAUGAAUCCAUUUAUACAAAAUGUCUAGAAAAGCCAAAUCUACAGGGAUAUCUACUGUAAAUUAGUGGUUGCCUAGGGCUGGGGACUUGGGGGGAAAUGAGGACUGCUAAUGGGCACAUGGUUUCUUUUUGGGAAUGAUUAAAAUGUUCUAAAUUCACUAUGGUAAUUGAUGACUGCACGACUCUGUGGAUAUACUAAAAACAACUGAAUUUUAUACUUCAAAUGGAUGAGUUAUAUAUCAAUUAGAUCUCAAUAAUGCUGUUAAAAAAGAAAAAAAAUCUUUCUACAACAUAGAAAGUAAUAGUGCAUUAGGGAAAUUCUAAUUUUAAACUUCUAAUGUCUAUAAUCAUGAAUAAAUUAUAUAGAAUAUGCAGAAAAAAUAAAAUAAAUGGCAAGUCUUAGGAUAUCACCAAUAACAUUUUACAUUUCUAACAAAACUGGAACUGAACAAGCACGAUUUUUUUAAAUGUCACUCCAUCUGGAGAACACCAAGGAUAACAACAAAAAUAAAUUUGCUAUUGACCUAUUUGUAAGAGGACCAAGUAUUAUCAACAAUAAGUGCUUAUACUGUACAUUUUGUUAAGUAUGUAUAAUUCCUUUAAUAUAUCAUCUAAAACAAUUGAAAUGAAAUCAUUUUAAACAUAUUUUCCUAAUUUCUUCAAAUAUAACAAGUUACAAAUUUUGAAAAGCCGAGUGGACAUAACAUGAAUUUGAGGAUGGGAGAAAGAGAAGCUGGAUUAAGAAAAGCAAGUCUACUCCUUCUUCCAUGUAACUACCGUUCAAAUAUUUAUAGUCAUAUGGCAAACAAAAAAAGGUAACACAGCACUGCCAAUCAUAUAUGUCCCUUAUGGUUUUAACUUGCAGAUUAUAUUUUGGGAUUUUGUUCUUGAGAAGAUUCAACUAUUAAGAACAAAAUGAAGUGGACACAAGAAAGAAUAUCAUAGUAGUACCCUUCAUUACUACAAACUGUAGCACACUCAUAGAAAUAAAUAUUGGUAAGGCAAAAAAAAAAUUAAACAGGGUAGUUCUGUGAUCCUCCAUGGCUUUAUUUUCAAAUAUUCUAAUAAUUCUCUUCCCCCUUGUAAGCAGAGCCUAUAGAGUCUUAUGAGAUUGUUGCUAUGAUGUUUGAAGUUGUUCAUUACAGUCUAAAACACAGUGGAUUCUGGGAUGCACAGAAGCUAAUUAGAAGGAAAUGCACCUGCGGAGGGCCCACUUCGGCCGUUUCUCUGGCCAGGUUUCCCUCGGUGUGCGACUGUGCGCUCAGCCCAGCACCAUGGGGAAGUGGGACAAAUGGGUGGCCUAUAUGCAUCCAACAGCAAUGGCAAGAUCAAGGGGUUCAAUCCAGUCUUCAGAGCCAACAAUACAGGAUUAUCUGAAUCGACCAAGGCCUACCUGGAAAGAAGUAAAAGAGCAACCAGAAAAGAAAAAGAAAGGCUCCAGGGCUUUGGCUGAAUACAAUGAAUGAGAACUGGAAGAAAGAACUAGAAAAACACAGGGGGAAAUUGUUAAGUGGAAGUGAGAGCUCAUCCAAAAAACGACAGAGAAAGAAAAAAGAAGAAAUCUGGUAGGUAUUCAUCUUCUUCUUCAUCAAGCUCUGAUUCUUCCAGCAGUUCUUCAGAUUCUGAAGAUAAGGAUAAGAGAUAAGGAAAACAGAGAAAGAGAAAGAAGAACCGUUCACAUAAAUCUUCUGAAAGGUCCAAAUCAGAAACUGAAUCAGACAGUAAGGAUAGUUUUAAAAAGAAAAAGAAGUCAAAAGAUGCCACUGAGAAAGAAAAGGACCUUAAAGGACUCAGAAAAAAGAGAAAGAUAUACUCAGAAGAUAAACCUUUAUCAUCGGAGUCCUUGUCAGAAUCAGAGUAUAUUGAGGAGGUACGAGCAAAAAAGAUGAAAAGCAGUGAAGAACAAGAAAAAGCAACAGAAAAAAAAAAAAAGAAAGAAAGAAAAAGAAGCAUAAGAAAUACAGUAAGAAGAAGAAAAAGAAGACUGCUAGUUCAAGUCCUGACUCACCAUAACAUUAAGAAAAAUCAGGAUUCCCUUAUAAAGAAAGCACAAUGUCUGAGGAAAUUGCAACUGUGAAAACUACAACAUAUUUACUAAAAUGCAUGAAUUUUCUUGUUUUUAGAAUUAUUCCUGGACUAUUCAGUAGCCACUCAGAUGCCACUGUGUGAAAGGGCCAUAAAUGUUGCCUGCUGCUUGAACAUCUAUUUUUUUCUCUUCUAGCGCUUGAUAACUCUGGGAGAUAAUACACUGCAGUCGUACUAGUGGUUAAGAUAUUUGGGAAUAAAAUCAAUACUUUUGACUAGAAGUGUCUAAGGAUAAACCAACCGAAAUUGAAUCUGGAUACAUCUUUAAGAUGUGAUCAGAAAUGACCAGAUGACUCUAGUUAAAAUUUUUGAAGGAGGGAUUACAUUAAUAUUUCAAAACCCUUAUUCUGUAAAUAAGUGUAUUUUAAUUUUUUCCCCUUAUAUACUUUUAUUUACCUGGGGAAGGAGGUUGGAGGGGGUGGUUUGCUAUCUCUUUAGCUAGCAGAAUAGUGUGCCUUUGAUCCUCACACAUCUGUAUUGUGGACACAGCAGCCAUGCUUCACGGGGAGGUCAAAGCUGGCUACCAGCAGUCUUGCCCUUUACUGAGCUUAGUGUCAUCCUUGGAUGCUGCCAUAUGCUGCUUUGAGUGAACUAGAGAAACAGCCAUUUGCAGCAUGAGAAAGUCCCAAAGCUCGGGGAUUUACCUCCACUUCAAUAAUCAUGAAUAUUUUUUAGCAUUAGAAUGUGUUAUGCCAUUUGAAAUAAUUUUGAUUACAUUUUGGCUUGGGAAAGGAAUUAUUUUAAAUAGACACUGGUACUUUUUGAACUUGAUAGCUAAGGAUUCUAAAAUGCAUAUUUUAUACUAAGUUUUAACCAGUCAGGAAAAUUUUAUGUAACCAGUGAUAGUUUACUUUUUGUAUGAAUUUUGUUUAGGCUGCAAUGUUUAGCUUUUGUUAACUCCUCACUCUUGCUGUCUUAAGUUCAUUACUAUGUUUAACAACCUACUUGCCAAGAUAUUUAGCAUGUAAAAUGCAGGGUUUUGAUUUAAAAAAAAAAAAAAACAGCUUCAUAUUGAAGCUGAGACUUACCAUAAACAAGUUGAGUGACAAAAAAAAAAAAAAAAGAAAAGAAAGAAAUACAAAUAUCUGCCAUCCAAAUGAAUACCUAAGUAGACAGCAAUAAAUGGCCACUUGUGGGAUUAAUUUGGGCUAGUAACAGUAUUCCUAGAAACACAGGAUAAGUCCUCACACUUACUUAGGAACUGUGUCUGACAAGUAAACUGAAUGUACGCCGGUAAAACAUGGCGAUUUGCGACCUAUGUUUAGGGGCUUCUGGUGGAGCCAGAAUUAGUCUGAACAGAAGGCACUUCAGACUUUCCAAACCCUGUUUCAACGAGAACAUCUCUGUUCUUCUAGUUUUUGUUUUAGUUUGGCUUGGUUGGAGUUUUAUCAAAAAUGUUAUUUGAAAAGAAUCUUUUUUUGGAAAAAUUGAUCUAGUCCAAUACACAGUGAAUAGUUCAGUGAAAUCUUAACUUUACCUCCGCCCGUCCUAUAUGUGACUUUCAUCUCAAUACCAGAAGCCCUGCUAAGUGGAAUCCAUAAUCAUAACAUGGCCAUGGAGGAACAGCAUAGGAUCUUCACAAAAACGUGCUAAAGAAAAGUAUGUCCCUUUGUUUCUUUCCUUUCAGUUUUUGUUUUUAAGACUUUAGCCACAAAUUAUCAAAUUAGUCAACAAAUAUGCAGCUCAUGCUUGGAGUAAAAGGGAUUUAUCUUCUUAAAUCCUACAUAUGUAGGAUUUAACAAUAAGCAGAGUGGAGCUGGCAGUUGCUCCAGAAAAACUCAUCCAUUUUUGGGAGUUUUGGGGAGCAGUCAUGGAAGCCAUGGAAGCUUCUGAUUGUGGUUCUGCCCCUCCUUUAUCUUGAGCUCUCCAAGGUUCUGAUCUGCUUCUCAACCAACAAGCAACUUUGCUGUUAGCCAUGUGUACGCACACGUAUGUGUGUAUGUGUGUGUGUGUGUGUGUGUGUCUGUCUGUCCUUCUAAAACAGCUAUAUAUAUAUAUAUAUAUUUUUUUUUUUUUUUGACUUGCAGGAUAAAAUCAAUCAGACCAUUCCCUGGCUUACAAUCAAUACAAUCUUCUAGCUACUUGUGGUAAUGUGAUCCUGAUUCUCAUGUCAAUACAGAACAUGACAGUUAUAUAUUCUUGAGGACGACAUAUGUCUUGGGCAAAAUGCACAAAUACCUUUGUAGCUGAAAAACCACUUUCCCACAAAAGUUUGUGAUAGGACUGGUAAGACUCAUAAUGGAGAAAAAGCAAAAUAGGAAAUUGUAAGUCUGAACUUUUCAAAACGCCAUUCAGUAGGCAGCCUCACUCAGUUGCUAGGUAAGCCAGACUUCCAAUUAACAGGAAUUCUAGGGCAUGUUCAAAUAUCUAUCAAGAGAUGAUCUACUGGUGGAAUCUUACAAAAAUUUAUCAUCUCAAUUUUGUGCCAGGGUGUCAGAAUCUUUCGAGGUGGCAUACUUCACAUGUCUAGCUUCCUCCAUAGGCAAGUAGGCUUUAAACCUAAAACAUGUAAAAGUAUCCCAAAAUGAUACCUAUGGCUCCAUUGAUAAAAUUCAAAAGCCUGUAAUGUCCCUUCUUGCCCAUCAGAAAUCGCUAUAUAGAUUACCUUUCAGUUCCUCUUAAAAGAAAGUGACCAGUAUGCAGCCCCACUCCAUCUUGAAUUUCCACUUCAAAUGAGUCUCUAGGAUCACCCAGCUUAUUUCCAACUUGUGUUUCUUUCUUAAGAAUUGGGGAUGGAUAAAUGGGAGGAAACAAAGGUGGGAGAGAAGUGGAGAGGAAAGAAAUUUUAAACCACAUCUCUUGAUCCAAUCUUCUUCAUUUAUUAAGAGAAAGAAAGUAGGCAGAUUCCUUUCUGUCUUGGAAACUCCCUCAAAUGGGACAGGAAUGAAAAGAAUACCCAAAGGAAAAGAAUCUUAAUUAGCCAUUCUUCUAACUGUAAAUACUUAGAGAAUAAAAAUAAUGUAUUUUCCAAAACACAUAUUAGAGAACUAAGGCCAAGAACUAAGGCCAAUAAAAUUAUUGAAUAUAAGCACCGUGAAGAGUACUAGAAUAACUAAUAACUAAAUCUACUCUCUUUCUUCCACAGGUUUUGUCUUUAUCCUCCCAAUUGUAAGGUAAUAUCUUUUAAAUACAAAAUCAAAUCUAUUUGGGGCCAAAAUGCUCAAGUUUUAAACCAGUGGUUUCUCAAAAAUAUAUGAAUUAAUAUUAUUAGGACAAAAUGUCAAUGUAGGCUAAAAUUUGAUUUAUGAAUCCUAAACAUUAAAACUAUUUUUGUGGCCCUAGGUUGGCUGUGGCUCUGAAAUGAAUGUCACCAUUUACCUUAGCUAUUGAUGCCACACACCUUCUCAAUUAAUGCUACUCAGAGCCAGAGAAUGAAAGGCAAUGGCAGAAAGGGAAUUAGCAAAUAUGAUUUCUAACUUAAUUCAAAUUGUUUUUCCUGGGGAUGUAUUUAAAUUUUCCAGGUUGCUCGAAUAUCAUCCAGGGAUGUGAUUUUGAAGGAGACAGCUUGUUACUGUUUUUCCUGGCUGUACUACAAGAAACAACAGUGUGAGCUUAUUUUAAGUUAAUGUGUGCUUCUGUGUUUCUUUACAAGAAAUUAACUGCAAUCAUUUAGUUAAAGCAAACACUUUGUUAGUGUUACACUUUUCAUCAGAAAAUGUCUUCAGGAAUCUUUCAAACUUAGAAAGUUAAGAAUCCAAAUUCCGUCCAAAGAUUUUAAACUUGGAGCAAAUUAUUUAAAUCACAAUGAAAGAUCUUUUAAGCUUAGUGACCCUCUGCUGGCACUGAAUAUUUUAUAGCCAUAGGGGACUCCUUUCCAUUCUCCCAAAUCAAGAUAGUAACUUUUUUCCUGUCUCAGACGGCACCAGACCCCACAGUAGAUUCUUCUUUCCUUCUGACUAUGAUAAUCACAAAGAAACCCACAGGAAUGGGCGGUAUGGAACAAGAAGAGCAAACAGCUUCAACCAAGUUGUUAUUUACAACUGGAGAAACAUCUGCAGGCUCUGGCACCUGGUUGCGGACCUCUGCCCUAGAUGACUCCCCUAGCGAGACUAGGCCCCUGGACUAUAAGGAUUUAUAUUAUGUAACUGUUUCUCCUCACCUUAGCUGAGCUCCCUGGACUUUAGACCUGCAAUAUUUGCCAGACUCUCUUCCUCUUAGUGAAAAUCCCAGUUACAGGCUUUCCUAGCCAGUGGUCUUAAAACCACCAAUGUCCUAGUAACACGACUCAUGUGUAAAUGGGCAGAUAAAACUCCAAAUGAAAAGGAGACUACCCCAGGCUCUUCAGGUUGUAACAGCCACAAGCAGCUAUAAGAGCAAGAAAGAAAAAGCAAAGCAAAAUAGACACUCAACUGAAGGAAAGCAUAUCCACAAAGCACAGCACAUGGGAUAUUAAAGAGCUUUCAAUGUCUUUACUCUUCCCCCUAAAAGCUCUAUCUCUUAUCCCCAGAUCCAUAUAAUAUCCUUAGCCUAAACCUACAUUUAGUAAACAUCCAUUGUUUCAUGUCCAACAUCCAUUCCCCUCUUGCUGAUAACAUCAACCCAAAUUUUGUUGGGGAGACUUCCCUUCCCCAUUCUCAGGCAUGAGUUUUGAGUGAGAACCUCCAGUUCUCUAUAAGCUCUAUAGGUCCUCACUAUCUAACCCCAUCAACAUUGCCUAUGCACUUAGUUCAAUGUUUGCUUCAGCCAUUGGACACAUAACCAAUCAAAUCCAAUGAGAUAAAUAAAGACAUCAGCUGGGACUGCUGAGAAAUAAAGGCUUACUUUCUUCCUAUAAUAGGAUAAUAUAAAGUCUGAAUUGGAGUAACAAUUUUUUACUUAUAAGGGAAAAGACUUGUGAACUUGCACAGAUACGGAGACUAAAAGUUAACACAAUGGGAGGCAGAGCAGAGAAGAGAAGAAAUGGGAAGAUACCAGGUCCUUAAAUGACAUUAUUUCAGCCACUGGACCAAGCUUUGUCUGAUGCUCAAUUCUGGACUGUUGAGUUCUCUAAGCCAAUUAAUUCUCUUUAUAGUUAAAGCCAGUUUGAAUCAGGUUUCUGUCACUUUAAAAAAAUGGAAAAAAAGAAAAGUAAGAAAAUAAAAGAGUGCUGACACACCACAAUACCAUUAUCACCAUUUUACCUCUUUAAGGGAAAGAUCAGAGGAAGAGGCACAUGAGCUCUUACCAGGCUAUUCAAGAGCACUUCAACCAAAAGUAUGGAUUUGGUGUGGGUUUUCUGCCAGAAACAAAAGUUGAGUAGCUUCCUACAUUUAUCUGCAGAAAAAUCUACAUAGAGAAUUAAUCUAUUUUUACUAACCCAACAAUGAUUAUAAUGAUUUUUCUUAAGGAAAAAAUAAAUAAUAAGGAAAUGAGGAAAAACAGAAACUAUAUUUUUGUAUAUUACAACUCACUCAAUAAAUUCAAGUUAAAAUGGAUCUGAAACAGGUAUCUGAGAUGUUCCCCAUCCUACAGCUUUUCAAACACCAAUAGGGUAUUUGAUUCAGUGGGUAAUCAAGUGAAACUUAUAAAAAAAGCCAACAGUCCCAUUAAAGGAUGUAAAGGAGAAAAAUGAACAACUGUUCCAGACUAAAUAAGGACCCUUUGAUUACUGACAUGUGUCUUUGAUUACUGACAUGCACACAAUGAGCAGUACCCCAGCCCUUCUUUAGCACUGAGCUUAGACAGGAGGCCUUCGCUGGCUUCACGGUCCCUUAAACAGGAGAUAUUUUUACCUUUCCUCCACUUGACUGGAAAUAUUCAGCAUGUACAAGCUGUCCUGUGGUAUCAUAUGAAUGCUGGCUCCAUGCCACACUGGAAAUGUGUGCCUCUGUACAAAACCUUUACAUCUUUUGUACACAUCCUCUCUCCAGGAGACUUAAAAUGGGUCCCCAGAAGGCAGCCAUGGUGACUGCCUUCAAACCAUUUAUCAACUUAGGAAUACACAACGAUUAUUGUUUCAUCAACUGUCACUUCCUUAAACUACUGCCAUCCGUCUCUAGCCCCUAAACCCAUUCCUCACCAGUUCUUUCAAAAUUGUGGUGCUUCUCAAAGUCAACUAAAUAAAAGCAUCUGUUUCAAAUGGUACCAUACAAACAGCCUUCCCUGGGUCUCAGGAUAAAUAAUCAUGAAGACAUACUCUCUCCAACGAAGUGCUUCACAAACCUUAACAAAACCGUAACAUCCCAAGCUGCCAAUUUCUACUGCCAUCAACUAACUCAUCAUCGAACAGACUAGGUUUCUUUUUAUUAAUAAAGAGUAUUUUACUUUUUAAAAAAUCCCUUGAUAGAAGGCUGUCAAUAUGCAAUCUUCAUUAACCAGGGAAGCCUGAUUUUUCCCUACAAGUAUAUGAACCUUUCCUACCUACUACCCUAGCUUCCACACUGGCUAUCAUCAGAAUAACUGUGGAAGCAUCCUAAAAAGACAGAGUAUCAGAUAUAACCCUCUGAUACACUGAUCAAGUACACCUGGGGUGAGAUCUGCUCCUUGGUCCUACAUAAUCUUUUCACGAUUUUGGAGUCAGGUUCAGGCAUUCAGAUAGCAGACAAAACCCAGAACACUUAAUUAUUUUUCCAGUGAAUUUUCUCAUUGUGAUUAAAGGCCCAAAUAAUUUCAUAUAAACUCGCUAGACCUUCACAUAAUCCAUUGACUAAAUGAUGGUUAAAAGCUCCACUCACUAGAGCUUUCUACUAGUUGCCCCAUAUGUAUUCCCAGGAAGUUACAGAUUGUGUCUCCAGACCUCUGGUCUAUUUCUAACAAUGAUUACCCCUGGAAUCCAGAGCUGCCCAUAUGCAGGGGGGAAAAACAUCUUCAACCAUGGAGAGCCAACAUCACUCUUGCUCAUUUCUGCUUCUCCUAUAGUACUGAAUUUUACUAAAUUUGAUCCUUUCAUCUGCCUAGAUCUGUAAUAUCAUCCAGGCUCCCCCUGAGAUCCCAUCGCCCCUGAUUUAAUGUCAUUUGUGCCCUAGGGGGAAAAGUGCCAAAUAGUUUACUCAAUGGUGUGAUCAUUCUCAAAUUGGACAUAUUUAUUUGUGUUUAAUUUUAAAUCAUCAUCUUUUCUCUCAAAUGUUUUUGUGAUGGUUUCAUUAAGAUUAAGGAAUUAUGGAGCAUUUGUAAAUUGACCGCCUCAGCCUGCAGACAUGCUUUCUUUGACCCACACAAAUUUUUAUUUGAAAAUCUUUAAACAAAGCAUACACACUUCAGCAGGUCACAAUCCUCACCAAUUCCAACUGUUUUAUACCUACUUUUUCAUUCAUUUGUGUUACCUGGGUACACUUGACUGGCUCCUGCAGACAUUUGAGUUCGUAGCCCCUGCUACAAAUAAGAUUAUUGAGAUUUUGGGGCAUCUCCUAAAAAGACUGUUUAUUUCCUCUCAUGGUCUCUUCAUUUAUGGUAGAUGUAUCAGGUGUUUAUUGGUGUCAUGUAAGCAAAAGAAUAGCUGAAGUUUCUCAGUCAUUGAAAAUUAAAGAUAAAAAGAAACCUCUCCUAUUCAUUGCACCCACUAAUGUUCAUAAGAAAUCGCUGAAUGUCUAGGUAAUAUAGUUACUUCAUAUCACUCGCCUUCUAUGAGAUUAUAAAGUAUGGGAGAACAGGAACAGUAUCUUACUCAUCUCUAUGCAAAUACUGUGUUAGACAUUAUGGGUUAUUCAAAGUGGGCACUCAAACUAUUUUUCAAGUGAAUGAUCACCACUAUUCAACUCAUUAUAAACAAAAUUAGGUAUAUUAAAGAUCCAAAACAUUUUCCAGGGUCAAUAAAGAUACUGGCUACUGGGAGCCAAGUUAAUCUGUGGUUAUUAGCAGAAGUAGACAAAAGAAAAUUGGAGAGCAAUUCUGAAAAUACAAUAUGCAAUAUGACUAAUUACAGUCAUCAAUCACAAAGUUUGAACAAUCUGAAAAAUAGUAUCUUAAAAGCAUUCUAAGACAUGAUUUCUUUCCAAAGGCUAUCACACUUAAAAUAAGAAUGUACAAGCCUGUAAUCCCAGCACUUUGGG